RNAcentral lists this ribosomal RNA (98 nucleotides) under Staphylococcus aureus. Its description in RNAcentral is "partial 23S ribosomal RNA". It matches the Rfam family "Bacterial large subunit ribosomal RNA", at positions 2827 to 2925 of the family's 2925-position model. The record is from RNAcentral. Lineage: Bacteria; Bacillati; Bacillota; Bacilli; Caryophanales; Staphylococcaceae.
UAUAAGAUCCCUCAAAGAUGAUGAGGUUAAUAGGUUCGAGGUGGAAGCAUGGUGACAUGUGGAGCUGACGAAUACUAAUCGAUCGAAGACUUAAUCAA